RNAcentral lists this long non-coding RNA (4482 nucleotides) under Homo sapiens (human). RNAcentral's name for it is "HSALNT0055529". The record is from RNAcentral. Lineage: Eukaryota; Metazoa; Chordata; Mammalia; Primates; Hominidae.
AAUUCUAAGAAAUAAGGCUUGCUGGGGAGGCCUGCGGGGACAUCUAAUAUUCUUUCUCUCUGAACUCUGUGCCCCAAAGUCGUGAACUUGCCUGUUGGGGAUUCUGAGUGAAUGCUGGAAAUCCAGAUUCGUUGGGGCCAGAGUUUGCCCUGCGCAUGAGGGAGAGGGUGUGGGGUAUGGGCAGAGGUGGCAAGGGAGGCUUUGUGAAACGUUACACUCUGCUUCCUCAACUGCAGGCCAUUUCUCUGGGCCAGGAGCCAGCUGUUCCCAAAAUGGCCACGAUGCCUCAGGAGGGAGGUUGACACCCUGUGCUCUCAGAAGCAGCUCAGAGCUCAGAGGCAGACCUCUACUCAUGCAAUUCUGCCUUCUGUGCAUGCAAUGGAUUGCUGCCAUCUCCAAUCAGCCACAAUGGGAGGCCACCUGCUAGACAUGGAAGAGCCACCGGAUGGAAGAAGCCUGGGUCUCUGAAAUACUGCUUGGAGUAGACUACUCUGCCUGCAAACUAGGAGCACUGAUUUUGGACUUUUUGGGAGGGACUUCUAUGCCCUCUGCAGUUUGCCUCUUCCUCUGCUAUUUUUUCAUGUAUGUGUAUGUUUUUUGCCUGUAUUUGCAAUGCCAGCCAUCAUUUGCCAUGUCUUCUAGCGGCAACCUGCAUUUAGCCCAGAUCUGCUGUGAUUAUUCCUUUUCACAAACCACAAUGACUCUGGAAAACCUGGCUGUAAACACCAGCACUGCCACCAGCUAAGGAUCUGUGAUCAGGAGUGCCAUCUCACGGUAACAGGAAGACAAAAGUGAAACCGGGCUGAUGCGAAUCACUGGGAAACUGGCUUUGGCACCUCCAGAGAAUGAACUGUUUCAUAGCCUAGCUGACCAUCCAUGAAAAUGGCUGCCUGGAGAGGCAGUGAUCAGCCCAUCCCUGCAGGGUGAAGAUAAGCUUGUGCAGGCCACUGGCUAACACAGUUCAUCCCAUGCCUCCUACAUACCAAGCACUGUGCCAGGCACUUUUCACGUCUGGCAUCCUCAGAAUCCUCCAAAAGGUCGGAUUCAGACAAUCCGGUGGAGCACUCUGAAAUUUAGAGGAAGUGGUCAAAUAGAAUUUUCUGGAAUUAUGGAAAUCUUCUAUUCUGUGCAUCUAGUAUAGUAGAAUCUAGUCACAUGUGGCUUUUGAGAACUGGAAAUAUGGCUAAUGCAACAGAGAAAGUGAAUUUUUACUUUUGAUUCAUUUAAAUAUAAAUGGUCACAUAUGACAUCACUGCCAUAUUGGACAUUGCAGUUCUGGAAGAUGGCAGAUGCAGCCCUCAGAAGAAUUAUCAGCCUGAAUGUCUGGGCGGAGCAGAGCACUACCUUCCCACUCACUCUUCCCCUCCUCUCGCCCCCUCCCCUGCCUCACUUGCAUCAGAUUAUGAUGUGAGCAAAAGCAGGAAACAGCUCUUUUGAUAGGCCUGUGAGACUUGCUGUUCGUUGGAGUAGCUAGGCUGCUCUGACUCAUACAGACCCAAAUCCUGGCAACCACUUUUAUGAAGAAAUGACAAUUCAGUCUACUACUUGUCCAUUUUACAUGCCCAAGGAAUGUGAGGGGCCUCUGCUUGGAUCUAGUUUUCAACCUAGUCUAUGGCAUUGAUUAUCCUUUUAAAAGACAAAAGAGGUGACUUCACGGGCACUUAACAUCUUGGCCAUACUGACCCCAGUUGCACGCUACGUAGGAAGUUUUAGUCCAUUUAAACUGAAGUUCCAAUUUUUUUUUUAACAACUAUUUAAAAAUUGUACAUGUCCCAUACAUGACAGAGAAAGGGUUGUCUGGUUGGAUGAUUUUUGGCUUGCAAAAAGAGAACACAAAAGAAAAGCAUACGUUUUAAUACUCAAGAGACCAAAUUUUCUGCUGAAGAGGAAAUGAACUACAUAUCCAGAAGGGUCCUACCAAGAGGCCAAACAGACUGUGUUCUCUUGGGGGAGUUCUCAGUGGUGAUGAGAACACCACUUUUUUUUUUUUUUUAGUCAUUUUCAAGGUGAGAUAUUGACUUGCUGCUGGAGCAGGACAACUGGUCUCUCUUUCAUUGCUAGCAGCAGAGUAAGGGUCUUGCAAGUUUCAGGCAGCAGCAGAGAAAGGGUCUUGCAAGUUUCAGUCCAAAGCAAGAAGAGCUAGGAUUGCACCAGCUGUCUCACCUACUCUGUGCUCACCUGUUUCUGGAUGAAGCACGGUGACAUCUGUUUUAUUGUAAAGAGAACCAACUUUGGAAUCAAAUGGAACCUGUAUUAAAAUCCUGAAUCCGUCACUAGCUUGGACAAGUCACUUCACUUCUCUGAACCUUGUUUUAUUCCAGUUAAGAAUAAUAGUAAGCCAGUCCCACAGAGCUGUAGCAAGGUUAAAAUGAAUGGUUGUCUGUAGAAGCAUUUAAAAUAGGGCUUCAUACAGAGCCAGUACCUGGGGAGACUGAGGGUUUGAACCACAUAGUUCCACUCUGGCAAAUCACAGAGGGGCUGUAGGAUGGUCCUUUAAGGGGGAUGUGUUAUGGGUUAAUUGGAACAGUGCUUCUUAAACUCCAGUGUGCAUUCAUAUUGCUUAGGGGUUUUGUUUAAAUGCAGAUUCUGAGUUACUAGGAUUAUGCAAUUUGAAUGAGCUUGCAGAUAAUUUCAUGGCUGCUGGUCUCUGACAUCACCUUUGAGAAGCAAAGAAUUAAAGGUCCUGUCCUGAUCUGUCUCCUUCUCCUGUUAUCUGUGCAAAAGAGAUAUACUGUCUACUUUGCAUAGUGAGAUGGCAGGUACAAAAGUAGGAUGAGGAUAAUGUAGCAUGAGCACAGAGAAGGAAAACCUAGGAGGAUGAGUAAAGAAAUCAUGGGAAAAGAGAUAGAUUCAAGGCUUUCAAUCCUGACUAGACUUUAAAUUCACCUGGAGAGCUUUAAAAAAACUAGCCAUUGUCUGGUCCCAGGAAUACUGAUUUAAUUGAUUAGGAUGGGACCAGACAUGACAUGUUAAAGAAAAUAACUCCCCAGAUUAUUCUAGUGUGUAGCCAGGGUUAAGAACUGCUGGGCUAGACAAAUGAGACAACUUUCCCAGAUGGAAAGAAUCAGGAAGGGGCCUUAUCAAGAUAUUAUGUCAGGUUUGGUUUUCAGGGGGCUGAUAGGAAAGAAAAAGAAAUGCUUCAUGGAAAUUGCAGGUAAGACAGGCCAAUUGGUUGAAACCUUGACAAAUCAGACCAUUUGAUCAAAUUGUUCCCAAAAUAUGAAAACUCUGUCUCAACCGAAAUAAUCACUUAGCUCUGGGACUCUAAAGCAACCUGUUUGUCUGUUGGGAAGCUAGGGUAAAUGUGAGAAGUGAAAUCCAUGCCAUUUUUUGGAACUGGAGACUUUUUAAUAAUUUCAUUAACAUUGUCAGUUUGGUUGUCCUCUGUGAUCAGAAGCUGUCGAAUGAUGUUCAUUUGAGUACAGAAGCCAGCCCUUUCUGUAGCAUUAACCAGGCCUCAGUCCAGUGGAUCUCUACAGGGUGCCACGAGCCCAGCACAAGUGCUCCAACACAUUCUGACCAAUGAGCAUAAUUAAUUUGUUGUAAUUGACUUUACACUCUUGAAGCCCAGGUGUAGACUUCCUUCUUGUUACCAGAAGCCAGCUCAGACAUGGCCCUUUGCCAGCCUCAACACAAAGCUCAGCUCUCUUCCAGGGUUCCCUAAGAUCUAGGCACGUCAAGCAUCUGAAAAUAAUAUGGUUUUACAGAAGAUUCCUUACAUCCUGCGGUGGGGCCAGCUCAGGCACUGAACAACGUUUUGUUUGAGCAAUCCCCAUUGGACACAUCUCUCCCCCGAAUCCCUGUCUGCACAGCCAAUAAGGUGAUUCUCCUCUGUCACCCUCCUUAGCCCUUGCCCAUUCUUUUAUUCCUUUACAAGACAGCUGGGUUUAGCCCUGUCCUAAGUGCUCCACACUCGGCUGCCUGCACCCAGGCAUAGCAAACACAAAGCCCUUCGGAACCCCAGGCCCACCCUCUUUAGAUACAUGUUAUAAACUGUUACUGUUGAUGAGGUCAUUCCAGUGGGUGUCAAGCUGGGCACAGCUUCUGGUAAGAAGAAGAAAGCAUAGCAGAUUCACAUCUCAGCCAAAGAACCUGGCUGUGAAAAGCCUUUGCCUAAAAGGUCAUGCAGUCCACAGUUCUGCCACACAACUGCAGCCUGGAAUCACAUGGGGAGUUCUUAAAAUGCUGAUGGCUGGGCUGUACCCCUGAAAUUCUGAUUUAAUUGGCCUGGGGUGUGGCCUGGGCAUUAGAGUUUUGUUAAAGUUCCCAAGUCAUUCCUGCCAUGCUGCCAAAUUUGAGAGACGUUGUUCUAAAGAGGCUUAGCGAUAAAGGCCAAGUGAAAAGGACAACCAGUCCUACGUUAUAGUUGCAAUUGCUUUGUCCUUAUUACUGACCUGUUUGGUCUUGUUUUGAGUCUUUUAAUCCCUUCAACUGAACUCUCCAAAAUUCUACUAUUGGACAGUAUAGCACAGAAAGUUUGGG